Molecule: ribosomal RNA, 271 nt
Filed under: uncultured Chryseobacterium sp.
Lineage: Bacteria; Pseudomonadati; Bacteroidota; Flavobacteriia; Flavobacteriales; Weeksellaceae
Description: partial 16S ribosomal RNA
Rfam family: Bacterial small subunit ribosomal RNA
Source: RNAcentral
CGGUAGAAAAUCUUCGGAUCUUUGAGAGCGGCGCACGGGUGCGGAACACGUGUGCAACCUACCUUUAUCUGGGGGAUAGCCUUUCGAAAGGAAGAUUAAUACCCCAUAACAUAUUUGAUGGCAUCAUUAGAUAUUGAAAACUCCGGUGGAUAGAGAUGGGCACGCGCAAGAUUAGAUAGUUGGUGAGGUAACGGCUCACCAAGUCAAUGAUCUUUAGGGGGGCCUGAGAGGGUGAUCCCCCACACUGGUACUGAGACACGGACCAGACUCC